Molecule: non-coding RNA, 132 nt
Organism: Arthroderma sp. PD_2
Lineage: Eukaryota; Fungi; Ascomycota; Eurotiomycetes; Onygenales; Arthrodermataceae
Source: the annotation of a GenBank genome assembly
GGCAAGGUGGCCGAGCGGUCUAAGGCGCCAGAUUAAGGCUAACCUUAAUUAGAAAUAUUCAGCGGUGAUCUUUCCACCAACAGAUAUUCUGGUUCUCUAACGAGAGCGUGGGUUCGAAUCCCACCCUUGUCA